Molecule: long non-coding RNA, 864 nt
Organism: Sinocyclocheilus grahami
Lineage: Eukaryota; Metazoa; Chordata; Actinopteri; Cypriniformes; Cyprinidae
Exons: 3
Source: RefSeq, a predicted model, not a curated record
CCAAAGGCUAACAACUAAAUACCCUGCAUUUGCAGGACUGUAAAUGAGGUAACUUCUGAGUUUAUUAAAUUAGUUCAACCUAAAAAUAAAAUUGUCCUAUUUUUUCUUACCCAAAACUAUUUCCAUUAUUCCUUUCUCAAACUCAAUCACAUGCCCUCAUAGUGCUGACUUUUUUUUUAUUAAAUAAUUCUAUAAUGCAUACAUUGAAUACUUGUUAAAUCUGCAAAGUGCACACAUUAAAUUCAAUUAGACAUGGAGAAUCUGUGCAAACUGUUCAGACUUCAGAAACAUCUUCAAAUAUAACAUCAUGAACCAAACUGGCCUGCAGGGUAAGUACAAAAAAAGCUGAAAAUUCUGUACAAUUUAAAGAACAAAAAUCAAAAAAAGAAAAUGGUCCUAUACAUGUUUGGUAUUCAAAUUCCAGUAAUAUAUUACAUAGUCAUGAGGGAGUAAGUGAUUGAUUAGUGAGUUCCUUGAUAUUAAAAUGAUUAUAUUUGGCAUAAUCUCCGUCCUUGCUUGUAAAACUGUUCAUAAAGACAAUCAUGACCUCAGAUGAAUAGCAUGUGACUUCCAGCAGAUGCAGCAGCCUAUCAGGGAUUAUUUUUACACGCAUGAUAGAUUUCAGUUGCUAUAAUUAGGUCAGCUCAAGUCCAGCUAUAGAGAGGUCACAACUAAAGCAGUAAAUCAUCGGCCCUUCAAUACUUUUCACAUUAACAUGCAAUAACAUAAAUAGAAAAUUCUAUAAAACUAUAAUUAAAAAACAAAACCUGAUUCAAUGACUUUCAUGAGCAUCAACUCUGAAAUGAGUUUUAGAGACAGUCUUAAACAUAUUAACACGCAUUUCUCUGCUCACACAGAGAAAUG